This 1566-nucleotide long non-coding RNA is filed under the name Canis lupus familiaris (dog). RNAcentral's name for it is "lncRNA (ENSCAFG00845018806.1)". Lineage: Eukaryota; Metazoa; Chordata; Mammalia; Carnivora; Canidae. The record is from RNAcentral.
CUCACAGAAGCCUUUAUUAAUGAAGUCACAACACCAAUAUUUACCGUCUGCAGGGAGAGGCACAACACGGGGGGGUGGAUGGGAGUGCGGUGGGGACUCCCGCCCCACCCCUCGCAGGCCUGGCCUAGGAAGAUUGGCAGGUUUCCUUGGGUCCUUUCCAGCCCUUUAUCUGGAUGGCAGGGGCUGCUCUGCUGUGAUCCUCAUGCACCCCCUCCCCCACCAAGUGAGAGAAUCUUGAGAGGAACAGCUCACCCAUUCCUCUGCCCCCGCCGGUGCCAAAAGAAUGCCUCUCCUUCUCGACCUCACCCUCCCUGUGUGUGCACGCUCCCCAGGGGUUAUCCACCUGCUUGGCAGUGAGAGAAUGCACCUUGAAGUUAGGACGUUCAACAUGUGAGGAAUGUGUUUCCUGGUUGAUGGGGAGGGGGGGCAUUGGGAUGGGAGAAGCCCUUUGGUUUCUAGCAUUGACUGGACCCAAGUGAGAUGCUGACAGUCCCAGCAAAAGGGCCUUCUGGGCUCGGAUCCCUGUGUGCCCCAGGCAUCAAGUCUUCAACAUUGACAUCAACAUUGAUCAAGCCCCCAGCACAUUCCAGGAGCCAAGAGAAGCAUUAAGUAAAGGCACAGCACAGGCAAAACCCAUGGCUCACUGGGGGACAGGAAUGACAUGGGCAAGACUGAAGCAGAGGACACCAGGAGUGAGGUAGGAGAGGCCAAGGUGGGAAAGAAGUAGGGGGUAGAGUGGAGGGCUUAGGAAGGGUGUGACACAGUCCUGCUUGGGUUCAAGGAAGAGAAACCUAGCCACUCUAUGGAGGUCCUCCUUUGAAGGGGCCUCAUCUUUGACACCCACACAAACCUCAUUCUGUCUACCACUCCUUCCCUCCCCUCCCAACCCCCCAAGAGCCAUGCACAUUGCUUCCCAAGGGAGAAGAAACCUUGGCCCCGAGGUGGGCAGUCCUGGAGGAGAAUGGAUGGGGAGAUGAGUCAGCUGUGUAUGUGUUGGGUUCGAGGGGCCGAAGGCCUGAGUGCAGCAGAUGUGGGCAGCUGGCUCAGUGGGUCUGCAGCUCGGCAUAGGUCUGCUGGAAGGAGUCCAGGGAGCCAGGAGAAGUCCUGGACGUGGAUGUGUGGCCCGGGAGGGCACAGUGAAGAGGCAGGAGGUGCAAGGACUGCCCCUAUGGUGGGCAGGGGCAAUGAGGCCAGGAUGAGAUGGGAGGACUCGGAGAGGCCAGAGGUGACAGUGUGAGAAGUACUGGGACUAAGGCAGGGAGGGGUGCGGGAGGGAAUGGCCAGAAGAUCGGAGGCAUGUAGGUGAAGCCAAACAGGAAGCAGCUGAGUUUGGCCCCCAGGGGUGGUGAUGAUUGGUGACUGGUGAGGUGAUUGGCAUUAGUGGAGAGUUGGGGAGCACGUGGGAGGUAAAGAAGUGAAGACAGGUCUGGAUGUCAUAAGGGAGAGGUUGUUAGGAAUACAGGUUUUGCUUUUAAGGAAAGGCAAGGGGAUGAGCAGAAGGGCUGGUGAACUAAAAGCUCAGUUGGGCCCUGCCUUGUUGCUCUUUCCUGACUAGAGACCCUGCGU